GGAAGAGAGCGGCGGACGGGUGAGUAACGCGUGGGUAACCUGCCCUGUACACACGGAUAACAUACCGAAAGGUAUGCUAAUACGAGAUAAUAUGCUUUUAUCGCAUGAUAGAAGUAUCAAAGCUCCGGCGGUACAGGAUGGACCCGCGUCUGAUUAGCUAGUUGGUAAGGUAACGGCUUACCAAGGCGACGAUCAGUAGCCGACCUGAGAGGGUGAUCGGCCACAUUGGAACUGAGACACGGUCCAAACUCCUACGGGAGGCAGCAGUGGGGAAUAUUGCACAAUGGGCGAAAGCCUGAUGCAGCAACGCCGCGUGAGUGAUGAAGGCCUUCGGGUCGUAAAGCUCUGUCCUCAAGGAAGAUAAUGACGGUACUUGAGGAGGAAGCCCCGGCUAACUACGUGCCAGCAGCCGCGGUAAUACGUAGGGGGCUAGCGUUAUCCGGAAUUACUGGGCGUAAAGGGUGCGUAGGUGGUUUCUUAAGUCAGAGGCGAAAGGCUACGGCUCAACCGUAGUAAGCCUUUGAAACUGGGGAACUUGAGUGCAGGAGAGGAGAGUGGAAUUCCUAGUGUAGCGGUGAAAUGCGUAGAUAUUAGGAGGAACACCAGUUGCGAAGGCGGCUCUCUGGACUGUAACUGACACUGAGGCACGAAAGCGUGAGGAGCAAACAGGAUUAGAUACCCUGGUAGUCCACGCCGUAAACGAUGAGUACUAGCUGUCGGAGGUUACCCCCUUCGGUGGCGCAGCUAACGCAUUAAGUACUCCGCCUGGGAAGUACGCUCGCAAGAGUGCAACU
This 794-nucleotide ribosomal RNA is filed under the name uncultured bacterium. Its description in RNAcentral is "bacterial SSU rRNA". It matches the Rfam family "Bacterial small subunit ribosomal RNA", at positions 87 to 901 of the family's 1533-position model. The record is from RNAcentral.